Molecule: ribosomal RNA, 612 nt
Filed under: Triticum aestivum (bread wheat)
Lineage: Eukaryota; Viridiplantae; Streptophyta; Magnoliopsida; Poales; Poaceae
Description: partial small subunit ribosomal RNA
Source: RNAcentral
AUGCUGGUCCACGACACCUGCCUGCUGCGGCACGCCAGCGCGAGCUUCUUCGGCGCCGCCGACACAUCGCGGGUCAAGUACCGGCGGAAUCCGCAGAACGCGACGCAGCCGGAGCAGUUCGCGUCGCUGCUGGCCCCGCUGAUGGGCAGCCUCGCCGAGAGGGCGGCGUACGCGUCUCCGCGGAUGUUCGCCGUCGGCACGGCCGACGUGACGUCCUCCGACAGGAUCUACGGCAUGGCGCAGUGCACGCGGGACCUCGGUAAGGACGACUGCCACAGCUGCCUCGUCACUGCCGUCUCAAGGAUCCCGACCUGCUGCGCCGGGAGGCGGGGUGGUCAGGUCAUCUUCCGGACCUGCUCCGUCCGGUUCGAGGUCUACCCUUUCUUCAGCACCCCCUCUGAGGCGGCCAUGUUGCGGACGCCGCCGCCGCAGCCAGCAGGUCAAAUCAUGGACGGUAAUUCUAAGAUCAGCUUAUCAAACGGGUUGUGCGUCUAUAAAAAAGCGUCUGACGCCUGCCAUUUAGAUGGAAAGUGCCACUGUUGCGACGUGACAGAUUUGUGCUAUCUCACAGUCGCUCUGUGCAAGAAAUAUUGUGAAGGUUCUCCACACUAG